AACGAGCGCUGGCGGCAGGCUUAACACAUGCAAGUCGAACGCCCCGCCAGGGGAGUGGCAGACGGGUGAGUAACGCGUGGGAACAUACCCUUUUCUACGGAAUAGCUCUGGGAAACUGGAAUUAAUACCGUAUACGCCCUACGGGGGAAAGAUUUAUCGGGGAAGGAUUGGCCCGCGUUGGAUUAGCUAGUUGGUGGGGUAAAGGCCUACCAAGGCGACGAUCCAUAGCUGGUCUGAGAGGAUGAUCAGCCACAUUGGGACUGAGACACGGCCCAAACUCCUACGGGAGGCAGCAGUGGGGAAUAUUGGACAAUGGGCGCAAGCCUGAUCCAGCCAUGCCGCGUGAGUGAUGAAGGCCUUAGGGUUGUAAAGCUCUUUCACCGAUGAAGAUAAUGACGGUAGUCGGAGAAGAAGCCCCGGCUAACUUCGUG
This 431-nucleotide ribosomal RNA is filed under the name uncultured bacterium. RNAcentral describes it as "partial 16S ribosomal RNA". It matches the Rfam family "Bacterial small subunit ribosomal RNA", at positions 29 to 507 of the family's 1533-position model. The record is from RNAcentral.